This 305-nucleotide ribosomal RNA is filed under the name uncultured bacterium. RNAcentral's name for it is "bacterial SSU rRNA". It matches the Rfam family "Bacterial small subunit ribosomal RNA", at positions 337 to 637 of the family's 1533-position model. The record is from RNAcentral.
CCCUACGGGACGCAACAGUGAGGAAUAUUGGUCAAUGGACGCAAGCCUGAACCAGCCAAGUAGCGUGCAGGAUGACGGCCCUCCGGGUUGUAAACUGCUUUUAGUUGGGAAUAAAAGGGGGCUCGUGAGCCCCGUAUUGUAUGUACCAUCAGAAAAAGGACCGGCUAAUUCCGUGCCAGCAGCCGCGGUAAUACGGAAGGUCCGGGCGUUAUCCGGAUUUAUUGGGUUUAAAGGGUGCGCAGGCGGCUCUGCAAGUCAGGCGUGAAAGCUAGGGGCUCAACCCCUAAACUGCGCUUGAAACUGUG